UGAGCUUCCAAACAGCAGAUGGCGCUGUCUUAGAUCUGCUGUGCUGAAUCUGAGGCGGCUCCGGUCUGUCCUUUACAUGAUGAGGUUUAUCUCUGUGUUUAACGGCUCUGACUCUCCCCCAGGACAAGACGAGGAGGAAAUGUCAAAAAGAAAAGAACAGCCUCUGGCUCUGAGCCUCCAGAGGGCAGCACUGAGCCUCCAGAGGGCAGCACUGAGCCACAGCUCUAUGGGACAAAACGCAGAUCCACAGCCUCAGUGUCCGCUCUGUCCAUGAAGAGUGACUGGUCUAAAGGCCACGUUCCAAACUUCAGUCCUGAACCUGCUCCAGACUCACGAAGCAGAUCCACAGCCUCAGUGUCCGCUCUGUCCAUGAAGAGUGACUGGUCUAAAGGCCACGUUCCAAACUUCAGUCCUGAACCUGCUCCAGACUCACGAAGCAGAUCCACAGUGUCCGCUCUGUCCAUGAAGAGUGACUGGUCUAAAGGCCACGUUCCAAACUUCAGUCCUGAACCUUCUCCAGACUCACGAAGCAGAUCUACAGCCUCAGUGUCCGCUCUGUCCAUGAAGAGUGACAGGUCUAAAGAGUUCCCUCCAGAGUUCAGUGGUGAACCUGCUCCAGACUCACAAGAAACAGAGUCAGAGCAGGACGCCUGGCCUCAGUGUGGAGACACAGGCAACAGUCCUGAUCAGUGGGUUCAAGGCCCUGCACCAGGUGAGUCUGCUCAGUCUGAGACUCAUGAACUACAGCAGGGAAUAAGAGACCUGUUCAUCAACAUUAACAGGUG
This 785-nucleotide long non-coding RNA is filed under the name Neogobius melanostomus (round goby). Its description in RNAcentral is "lncRNA (ENSNMLG00000026962.1)". Lineage: Eukaryota; Metazoa; Chordata; Actinopteri; Gobiiformes; Gobiidae. The record is from RNAcentral.